RNAcentral lists this ribosomal RNA (253 nucleotides) under uncultured bacterium. RNAcentral describes it as "partial 16S ribosomal RNA". It matches the Rfam family "Bacterial small subunit ribosomal RNA", at positions 524 to 776 of the family's 1533-position model. The record is from RNAcentral.
UACGUAGGUGGCAAGCGUUGUCCGGAUUUAUUGGGUUUAAAGGGUGCGUAGGCGGCCUAUUAAGUCAGUGCUGAAAUAUCCCGGCUUAACCGGGAGGGUGGCAUUGAUACUGAUGGGCUUGAGUGGAGUCGAGGUAGGCGGAAUUGACGGUGUAGCGGUGAAAUGCUUAGAUAUCGUAAGGAAGACCAGCGGCGAAGGCGAGUUCCUGGACAGUUACUGACGCUGAGGCACGAAAGCCAGGGGAGCGAACGGG